UACGAAGGGGGCUAGCGUUGCUCGGAAUUACUGGGCGUAAAGCGCACGUAGGCGGAUUGUUAAGUCGGGGGUGAAAUCCUGGAGCUCAACUCCAGAACUGCCUUCGAUACUGGCGAUCUCGAGUUCGGGAGAGGUGAGUGGAACUGCGAGUGUAGAGGUGAAAUUCGUAGAUACUCGCAAGAACACCAGUGGCGAAGGCGGCUCACUGGCCCGAUACUGACGCUGAGGUGCGAAAGCGUGGGGAGCAAACAGG
RNAcentral lists this ribosomal RNA (253 nucleotides) under uncultured bacterium. RNAcentral's name for it is "partial 16S ribosomal RNA". It matches the Rfam family "Bacterial small subunit ribosomal RNA", at positions 524 to 776 of the family's 1533-position model. The record is from RNAcentral.